This 363-nucleotide ribosomal RNA is filed under the name uncultured eukaryote. RNAcentral describes it as "partial 18S ribosomal RNA". It matches the Rfam family "Eukaryotic small subunit ribosomal RNA", at positions 592 to 976 of the family's 1831-position model. The record is from RNAcentral.
CAAUAGCAUAUAUUAACGUUGUUGCAGUUGAAAAGCUCGUAGUUGAACUUUUGGUAGGAGCGACCUGGCCUUGGGCGCAUGCCCUUGUUUGCCGUGUGUCGUAUCUGGCCAUCCUUUUCUUCGUUUUUCGGAGGAAUCUUUUACUGUGAGUAAACUGGAGUGCUCAAAACAAGACGUUUGUUUGGUACAUUAAAGCAUGGAAUAAUAAGAUAGGACCUGGUUACUAUUUUGUUGGUUUGCAUAGCUAGGUAAUGAUUAACAGGGACAGUUGGGGGUAUUCGUAUUUAAUUGUCAGAGGUGAAAUUCUUGGAUUUAUGAAAGACGAACGACUGCGAAANCANNNACCAAGGAUGUUUUCAUNAA